This 483-nucleotide ribosomal RNA is filed under the name uncultured bacterium. Its description in RNAcentral is "partial 16S ribosomal RNA". It matches the Rfam family "Bacterial small subunit ribosomal RNA", at positions 28 to 507 of the family's 1533-position model. The record is from RNAcentral.
GACGAACGCUGGCGGCGUGCUUAACACAUGCAAGUCGAACGCUGAAGCUCAGCUUUUGUUGGGUGGAUGAGUGGCGAACGGGUGAGUAACACGUGAGUAACCUGCCUCCUUCUUUGGGAUAACGCCCGGAAACGGGUGCUAAUACUGGAUAUUCACUGGUCUUCGCAUGGGGGUUGGUGGAAAGGGUUUUUCUGGUGGGGGAUGGGCUCGCGGCCUAUCAGCUUGUUGGUGGGGUGAUGGCCUACCAAGGCUUUGACGGGUAGCCGGCCUGAGAGGGUGACCGGUCACAUAGGGACUGAGAUACGGCCCAGACUACUACGGGGGGCAGAAGUGGGGAAUAUUGCACAAUGGGGGAAAGCCUGAUGCAGCGACGCCGCGGGAGGGAUGGAGGCCUUCGGGUUGUGAACCUCUUUCGCUCAUGGUCAAGCCGCAACAAUGGUUGUGGUGAGGGUAGUGGGUAAAGAAGCGCCGGCUAACUACGUG